RNAcentral lists this non-coding RNA (181 nucleotides) under Neisseria chenwenguii. Lineage: Bacteria; Pseudomonadati; Pseudomonadota; Betaproteobacteria; Neisseriales; Neisseriaceae. The record is from RNAcentral.
CAAACAAAAAAAACCAUUCAUACCAAGGGAGAAGUAUGAAUGGCCAAUACAUUGCGGGAAAACGUCUUACUUGCUGCACCGCCCAAAAGGGAUAAAAGAGCGGUGUGUCUCAGCGGUUUUUAUUCUACCUGUAUCAGUAUUAAAUGCUGUUAAGAAGUGAGACGAUUUAAGUAAAUUGCGC